Molecule: non-coding RNA, 124 nt
Organism: Hordeum vulgare subsp. vulgare (domesticated barley)
Lineage: Eukaryota; Viridiplantae; Streptophyta; Magnoliopsida; Poales; Poaceae
Source: Rfam
UUAAUACUCCCUCCGUUCAAAAAUACUUGUCCUAAAAAUGCAUAUAAUGAAUGUAUCUAUAAUUAAAAUAAGUCUAGAUACAUUCAUCUCUAGGACAAGUAUUUCCAGACGGAGGUAGUAUAAU